UUUUCUUUUCAAGAUUUUAUUAGAAAGACAAAUAUUUGUAAACUGUAUUUUUCUUAUAGAUUUUAUGUUUGUGUAUAAGACAUUUAGAAUUGUGCUGAUAUAUUCGAGCUGAUUUUUUGUGUUUUUUUAUUAUUUUUUAUGUUUACAAAAUAGUAGAACAUCUAUAAAUUAAUAAUGUUAGGACUUUAAAAUUUUAUUAAUUUAUAGAGAUAUUAAUUUACAAAAUUUUCUGUUUUUAGAUUUUUUUCUAUUUUUGAAUAUUUUUAUUAAUAAAAUAAUAAAAUAUUUGAUUUUACUGUUUAUAAAUUAUUUAAAUUUUAAAAAUUUGACUUUCAUAUUAUUUUAUUAUCUUAUGUAGUGUAUAUUUUUAUGUUUCAUAGAAUUGUUAUGUGAUUUUCGAUAUAAUUUUACUAAAUAUUAUCAAA
Molecule: long non-coding RNA, 425 nt
Filed under: Brassica rapa (field mustard)
Lineage: Eukaryota; Viridiplantae; Streptophyta; Magnoliopsida; Brassicales; Brassicaceae
Description: long non-coding RNA (BRAP_LNC007817)
Source: RNAcentral